UGCAAAGCCAUCUCUGCAGUAAUGCUGGAGU
RNAcentral lists this non-coding RNA (31 nucleotides) under Mus musculus (house mouse). Lineage: Eukaryota; Metazoa; Chordata; Mammalia; Rodentia; Muridae. RNAcentral also lists the same sequence under 1 other name. The record is from RNAcentral.